AGCGUCACCAUCUUUAUUGCAAAGAUAACAUACAAAUACACAACUUUAAGCUACAUAUUUCAUUUGACAGAGGUAAUAAAUUGCCCAUUGAUCAGCACAGUAAAUUGAAUAUGUCAAUAUUACUGGUAAGCUAACGGUUCCAGAAAUCAGGAAUGCAGACAGGCUCUAUAGGCCUCUAUAUGUGAGUGUCUGUGUUCAACAACCCACCACAUAUUCUUACUGUAUGUUGGGCACCUACUGACAAAAAAAAAAUAACAUUGUUAUGAAUGAUUAUUUUGCUCAAUGACAUGUAUUGCUAAAUUAAAGAUAUUGAGGAAAUACAGGCAGGCAUCACAUUACAACAAGACAAAACAGCUCAAUUAAUCAUGAUGGUCUUGCAAGAAUAAAACCAAAGCUUGUUUUAUAUACUGUUUUUUAAAGCAUGAAAAGGUAAUGGAAUGGGAUUAGUGUGGCGUGUGAAGAAUCCAAUACAUUACCUUGUAUGCAGAACAAAUCACAUUAUUGUGGAAGCACCUCCUCUAUGAGCAUGAAUGAGGCUGUUUGAGAAGGUUUGACUCCUAAACAACCUGUAUACACAUAAUCUAAAGUACAAUACCAACAUAACUACUGUAGUAGGUCAAAGCUGUGGGAUGGAAAACCUUGGUAGAGCAUGGGGUGGAGUAGGCAUUGUGGUGCUGUAAAACCUUGGUAGAGCAUGGGUGGAGUAGGCAUUGUGGUGCUGUAAAACCUUGGUAGAGCAUGGGUGGAGUAGGCAUUGUGGUCCUGUAAAACCUUGGUUGAGCAUGGGGUGCAUUGUAGAGCAGUUAGAUCAUAGUGUGUUAUCUUAUCUCAUUAGUCUACCGGUUAGACCAUAGUGUGUUAUCAUUUCAGUAGUAGACCAGUUAGACCAUAGUGUAAUCAUUUCAGUAGUAGACCAGUUAGACCAUAGUGUUAUCAUUUCAGUAGUAGACCAGUUAGACCAUAGUGUGUUAUCAUUUCAGUAGUAGACCAGUUAGACCAUAGUGUGUUAGGAUUUCAGUAGUAGACCAUAGUGUGUUAUCAUUUCAGUAGUAGACCAGUUAGACCAUAGUGUUAUCAUUUCAGUAGUAGACCAGUUAGACCAUAGUGUUAUCAUUUCAGCAGUAGACCAGUUAGACCAUAGUGUGUUAUCAUUUCAGUAGUAGACCAGUUAGACCAUAGUGUGUUAUCAUUUCAGUAGUAGACCAUAGUGUGUUAUCAUUUCAGUAGUAGACCAGUUAGACCAUAGUGUUAUCAUUUCAGUAGUAGACCAUAGUGUGUUAUCAUUUCAGUAGUAGACCAGUUAGACCAUAGUGUGUUAUCAUUUCAGUAGUAGACCAGUUAGACCAUAGUGUGUUAUCAUUUCAGUAGUAGACCAGUUAGACCAUAGUGUGUUAUCAUUUCAGUAGUAGACCAGUUAGACCAUAGUGUUAUCAUUUCAGUAUUAGACCAUAGUGUUAUCAUUUCAGUAGUAGACCAGUUAGACCAUAGUGUGUUAUCAUUUCAGUAGUCUACCAGUUAGACCAUAGUGUGUUAUCAUUUCAGUAGUAGACCAGUUAGACCAUAGUGUUAUCAUUUCAGUAGUAGACCAUAGUGUUAUCAUUUCAGUAGUAGACCAGUUAGACCAUAGUGUAAUCAUUUCAGUAGUAGACCAGUUAGACCAUAGUGUGUUAUCAUUUCAGUAGUAGACCAGUUAGACCAUAGUGUAAUCAUUUCAGUAGUAGACCAGUGUUAUCAUUUCAGUAGUAGACCAGUGUUAUCAUUUCAGUAGUAGACCAUAGUGUAAUCAUUUCAGUAGUAGACCAGUUAGACCAUAGUGUGUUAUCAUUUCAGUAGUAAACCAGUUAGACCAUAGUGUGUUAUCAUUUCAGUAGUAGACCAGUUAGACCAUAGUGUGUUAUCAUUUCAGUAGUAGACCAGUUAGACCAUAGUGUAAUCAUUUCAGUAGUAGACCAGUUAGACCAUAGUGUUAUCAUUUCAGUAGUAGACCAGUUAGACCAUAGUGUUAUCAUUUCAGUAGUAGACCAUAGUGUUAUCAUUUCAGUAGUAGACCAGUUAGACCAUAGUGUGUUAUCAUUUCAGUAGUAGACCAGUUAGAACAUAGUGUGUUAUCAUUUCAGUAGUAGACCAGUUAGACCAUAGUGUGUUAUCAUUUCAGUAGUAGACCAGUUAGAUCAUAGUGUAAUCAUUUCAGUAGUAGACCAUAGUAUGUUAUCAUUUCAGUAGUAGACCAUAGUAUGUUAUCAUUUCAGUAGUAGACCAGUUAGACCAUAGUGUAAUCAUUUCAGUAGUAGACCAGUUAGACCAUAGUGUUAUCAUUUCAGUAGUAGACCAGUUAGACCAUAGUGUUAUCAUUUCAGUAGUAGACCAGUUAG
This 2372-nucleotide long non-coding RNA is filed under the name Salmo salar (Atlantic salmon). RNAcentral describes it as "lncRNA (ENSSSAG00000092894.1, ENSSSAG00000099321.1)". Lineage: Eukaryota; Metazoa; Chordata; Actinopteri; Salmoniformes; Salmonidae. The record is from RNAcentral.